Oncorhynchus tshawytscha (Chinook salmon) is the source of this 604-nucleotide long non-coding RNA. The record is from Ensembl. Lineage: Eukaryota; Metazoa; Chordata; Actinopteri; Salmoniformes; Salmonidae.
GAUAGGGAACAGACUAGUAGUUUCAGGAAGGUGGGUGAGAUUGUUGUCAUCUGAUAGGAAACAGACUAGUAGUGUUGGAAGGUGGGUGAGAUUGUUGUCAUCUGAUAGGAAACAGACUAGUAGUGUUGGAAGGUGGAUGAGAUUGUUGUCAUCUGAUAGGAAACAGACUAGUAGUGUUGGAAGGUGGGUGAGAUUGUUGUCAUCUGAUAGGAAACAGACUAGUAGUGUCGGAAGGUGGGUGAGAUUGUUGUCAUCUGAUAGGGAACAGACUAGUAGUGUCGGAAGGUGGGUGAGAUUGUUGUCAUCUGAUAGGAAACAGACUAGUAGUGUUGGAAGGUGGGUGAGAUUGUUGUCAUCUGAUAGGAAACAGACUAGUAGUUUCAGGAAGGUGGGUGAGAUUGUUGUCAUCUGAUAGGAAACAGACUAGUAGUUUCAGGAAGGUGGGUGAGAUUGUUGUCAUCUGAUAGGAAACAGACUAGUAGUGUCAGAAGGUGGGUGAGAUUGUUGCCUUCUACUCGGCAGGUCAGGAAGAGUAAUUUUCCCUUGAAGGCUUUGACAAGGCUGUACAUCUGAUGUGCAAAAAGGCCCUUCCCUUUUAGUUUGG